This 429-nucleotide ribosomal RNA is filed under the name Verrucomicrobiota bacterium. Its description in RNAcentral is "Verrucomicrobia bacterium partial 16S ribosomal RNA". It matches the Rfam family "Bacterial small subunit ribosomal RNA", at positions 355 to 776 of the family's 1533-position model. The record is from RNAcentral. Lineage: Bacteria; Pseudomonadati; Verrucomicrobiota.
UGGGGAAUUUUGCACAAUGGGGGAAACCCUGAUGCAGCAACGCCGCGUGAGUGAAGAAGGAUUUCGGUUCGUAAAACUCUGUUGUUAGGGAAGAAAAAAUGUAUAGUAACUAUAUACAAAAGAGACGGUACCUAACCAGAAAGCCACGGCUAACUACGUGCCAGCAGCCGCGGUAAUACGUAGGUGGCAAGCGUUGUCCGGAAUUAUUGGGCGUAAAGCGCGCGCAGGUGGUUUAGAAAGUCUGAUGUGAAAGCCCACGGCUCAACCGUGGAGGGUCAUUGGAAACUAAUAAACUUGAGUGCAGGAGAGAAAAGUGGAAUUCCUAGUGUAGCGGUGAAAUGCGUAGAGAUUAGGAGGAACACCGGUGGCGAAAGCGGCUUUUUGGCCUGCAACUGACACUGAGGCGCGAAAGCGUGGGGAGCAAACAGG